CCUACGGGUGGCAGCAGUGAGGAAUAUUGGUCAAUGGGCGAGAGACUGAACCAGCCAAGUCGCGUGAGGGAUGAAGGUUCUAUGGAUCGUAAACCUCUUUUAUAAGGGAAUAAAGUGUGGGACGUGUCCUAUUUUGUAUGUACCUUAUGAAUAAGGAUCGGCUAACGCCGUGCCAGCAGCCGCGGUAAUACGGAGGAUCCGAGCGUUAUCCGGAUUUAUUGGGUUUAAAGGGUGCGUAGGCGGCGUGUUAAGUCAGCGGUGAAAGGUUGUGGCUCAACCAUAGAAUUGCCGUUGAAACUGGGGGGCUGGAGUAUGUUUGAGGCAGGCGGAAGGCGUGGUGGAGCGGUGAAAUGCUUAGAUAUCACGCAGAACCCCGAUUGCGAAGGCAGCCUGCCAAGCCAUGACUGACGCUGAUGCACGAAAGCGUGGGGAUCAAACAGGAUUAGAUACCCGAGUAGUC
This 460-nucleotide ribosomal RNA is filed under the name uncultured bacterium. RNAcentral's name for it is "partial 16S ribosomal RNA". It matches the Rfam family "Bacterial small subunit ribosomal RNA", at positions 338 to 795 of the family's 1533-position model. The record is from RNAcentral.